RNAcentral lists this ribosomal RNA (1221 nucleotides) under human gut metagenome. RNAcentral's name for it is "bacterial LSU rRNA". It matches the Rfam family "Bacterial large subunit ribosomal RNA", at positions 829 to 1980 of the family's 2925-position model. The record is from RNAcentral.
CCAAUCGAACCCGGAGAUAGCUGGUUCUCCUCGAAAUAGCUUUAGGGCUAGCCUCAUAUAAGUCUUGCGGAGGUAGAGCACUGAAUUUCCUAGGGGGCGUCAAAGCUUACCGAAGAAUAUCAAACUCCGAAUGCCGCGUAGAUGGUGUAUGGGAGUCAGACUGCACGAGAUAAGUUGGGUAGUCAAAAGGGAAAGAGCCCAGACCUGCAGCUAAGGUCCCAAAAUGUGUGUUAAGUGGAAAAGGAUGUGGGAUUUCAAAGACAACUAGGAUGUUGGCUUAGAAGCAGCCAUACAUUCAAAGAGUGCGUAAUAGCUCACUAGUCGAGAGGUCCUGCGCCGAAAAUGUCCGGGGCUGAAACACACUGCCGAAGCUCAGGGAUGAACAGUGAUCAAUACAGAUCAAUGCAAGAGGAAAGCUUCUUGAUGAAAUCAAGAAGAUUCCAAAACAGAUGAAACAGACUGCUGUUGGUCUGCGUUGAUCACUGUUCAUCGGUAGAGGAGCAUUCUUAAAGAGACGAAGCUGUACCGAAAGGAGCAGUGGAUUUUUAAGAAGAGAGAAUGCCGGAAUGAGUAGCGAGAAAGAGGUGAGAAUCCUCUUGGCCGAAUAUCUAAGGUUUCCAGGGUAAAGCUGAUCUGCCCUGGGUAAGUCGGGGCCUAAGGCGAGGUCGAAAGACGUAGUCGAUGGAUAACAGGUUGAAAUUCCUGUACUAUCCUGUAACAGAACUGUGGGGACGCAGACAGAGAGCACAAGCCGGGAAUGGAAAGACCGGUGCAAGCGAGGUAGGAGUACAUCAGGCAAAUCCGGUGUGCAAUCCGAAGACGUGAUGCGGAUCGAAAAGAAGUAGAGAAGUGUGUGAGCUGGCUGCCAAGAAAAGCCGCUAUUGUUUACAGGAUACCCGUACCGUAAACCGACACAGGUGGAUGAGGAGAGAAUCCUAAGGCCGACGGGAGAAGCAUUGUUAAGGAACUCGGCAAAAUGACUCCGUAACUUCGGGAGAAGGAGUGCCAUGCGAAUGGCCGCAGAGAAUUGGCCCAAGCAACUGUUUAGCAAAAACACAGGUCUAUGCGAAACCGAAAGGUGAGGUAUAUGGGCUGACGCCUGCCCGGUGCUGGAAGGUUAAGAGGAGAGGUUAGCGCAAGCGAAGCUUUGAAUUUAAGCCCCAGUAAACGGCGGCCGUAACUAUAACGGUCCUAAGGUAGCGAAAUUCCUUGUCGGGUAAG